This 1959-nucleotide ribosomal RNA is filed under the name Triticum aestivum (bread wheat). Its description in RNAcentral is "partial small subunit ribosomal RNA". Lineage: Eukaryota; Viridiplantae; Streptophyta; Magnoliopsida; Poales; Poaceae. The record is from RNAcentral.
AUGGCGCUCUCUAAAACUCAAGGAAGACCCCGGUGGAAAACUUUCCUCUUCAGUUUUGUAGCGGCGGCCGUCGGGAUGAAGUUACGCGCCGGCACGCCGCCCGUCCUGUACUCGUACGCGUCGAUGCAGCAGCGGAGCGGCGGCGGUGUGAGGUGUCGCGAGUGCAUUGCCGUGCUGGGCGCCGCCGCCUUGGUGGUGCUCGUCGUCACCCACGCGCUCCUCCCGGGGGCCAGGUUGGGGGACCUGGGCGACGUUGUUAGCCCGGUGCUCCGUCUCCGGAGAGCCAGGCGAGAGGAGGUGCCGUCGUCGGAGAAGACGGUAGGGGAAAUCGGCGACGAGGCCGAUGGGUUCCUGUGGAGCAACGCCAUGCUGCAGUGGCAGCGCACCGGGUACCAUUUCCAGCCGGAGAAGAACUACAUGAACGAUCCAAACGCUCCGAUGUACUACCGUGGAUGGUACCACUUCUUCUACCAGUACAACCCGAAGGGCGUCACGUGGGGCAACAUCUCGUGGGGCCACGCCGUGUCGCGGGACAUGGUCCACUGGCACCACCUACCCCUUGCUAUGGUGCCCGACCGAUGGUACGACAUCAAAGGCGUUUUGACGGGCUCCGCCACCGUACUUCCCGAUGGCAAAGUCGUCCUGCUCUACACGGGGAACACCGACACCCUUGCCCAGGUACAGUGCCUUGCCGUACCUGCUGACCCUCAUGAUCCUCUCCUUCGUACUUGGACCAAGCACCCUGCCAACCCUGUGCUCCUUCCGCCCCCCGAGACCGGCAAAAAGGACUUUCGCGACCCCAUGACAGCAUGGUUUGAUAAGUCCGACAACACAUGGCGCACCAUGAUCGGGUCCAAGGAUGACAACGGUCAUGCUGGCGUCGCCCUCAUGUACAAGACAAAAGACUUUGUCAAGUUCGAGCUCAUCCCACGCCCGGUCCACCGCGUCGAGGGCACCGGCAUGUGGGAGUGCGUCGACUUCUACCCUGUGGGCAACCGCAACUCAUCACAGGAAGAGUUGUAUGUGCUGAAGGCGAGCAUGGACGAUGAACGACAUGACUACUACGCAUUGGGAAGGUACGACGCAGUGACCAACACAUGGACGCCGCUGGACCCAGAAACAGAUGUGGGAAUCGGACUAAGGUACGAUUGGGGAAAGUUCUUUGCGUCCACGACAUUCUAUGAUCCGACAAAGCGGCGACGCGUGAUGUGGGCGUAUGUUGGUGAGACAGACUCCAACCGGACCGACCUCGCCAAAGGAUGGGCAAACGUCCAGGCGAUUCCGAGGACGGUGGCGCUGGACGAGAAGACCCGGACGAACCUCGUCCAAUGGCCGGUGGAGGAGAUCGAGACCCUCCGCCACAACACCACUGACCUCAGUGGCAUCACCAUCGGCACUGGCUCCGUCAUCCCCUUGCAUCUCUGCCAAGCCGCUCAGCUCGACAUAGAGGCCUCCUUCCGCCUCAACACAUCUGACAUCGCAUCCCACAACGAGGCCGACAUUGGCUACAACUGCAGCACUAGUGGUGGUGCCUCCAAGCGGGGUGCACUUGGCCCCUUCGGCCUCCUCCUCACCAACGGCCGUAGUGAGCAAAUGGCAAUGUACUUCUACGUGUCUAGAAGCCUCGACGGGGGACUCCGGACCCACUUCUGCCAUGACGAGUCACAGUCAUCGCUGGCCAAGAACGUUGUGAAGCGUGUGGUGGGCAGCACUGUUCCGGUGCUCGAGGGCGAGGCUUUAUCCGCUAGGAUUCUUGUGGAUCAUUCCAUUGUGGAGAGCUUUGUGAUGGGUGGGAGGUUGACGGCGACGUCACGGGUUUAUCCCACUGAGGCCAUCUACGAGGCGGCUGGGGUGUAUGUUUUCAACAACGCUACCAGCUCCAGAAUGACCGUCGAGAGGCUCGUGGUGCACGAGAUGCACUCAACACCGAUGCAACGAGAUCUUUAUGCACGAGAUUAA